RNAcentral lists this ribosomal RNA (253 nucleotides) under uncultured bacterium. Its description in RNAcentral is "partial 16S ribosomal RNA". It matches the Rfam family "Bacterial small subunit ribosomal RNA", at positions 524 to 776 of the family's 1533-position model. The record is from RNAcentral.
UACGAAGGGGGCUAGCGUUGCUCGGAAUCACUGGGCGUAAAGGGUGCGUAGGCGGGUCUUUAAGUCAGGGGUGAAAUCCUGGAGCUCAACUCCAGAACUGCCUUUGAUACUGACGAUCUCGAGUCCGGGAGAGGUGAGUGGAACUGCGAGUGUAGAGGUGAAAUUCGUAGAUAUUCGCAAGAACACCAGUGGCGAAGGCGGCUCACUGGCCCGGUACUGACGCUGAGGUGCGAAAGCGUGGGGAGCAAACAGG